This 301-nucleotide ribosomal RNA is filed under the name uncultured bacterium. Its description in RNAcentral is "partial 16S ribosomal RNA". It matches the Rfam family "Bacterial small subunit ribosomal RNA", at positions 509 to 809 of the family's 1533-position model. The record is from RNAcentral.
CAGUAGCCACGGUAACACGGAGGGGGCUAGCGUUGUUCGGAAUUACUGGGCGUAAAGCGCACGUAGGCGGCUUGGUAAGUUAGAGGUGAAAGCCCGGAGCUCAACUCCGGAAUUGCCUUUAAGACUGCCGAGCUAGCAGGUGAGAGAGGUAAGUGGAAUUCCGAGUGUAGAGGUGAAAUUCGUAGAUAUUCGGAAGAACACCAGUGGCGAAGGCGACUGACUGGACAAGUAUUGACGCUGAGGUGCGAAAGCGUGGGGAGCAAACAGGAUUAGAUACCCCCGUAGUCCCUGUCUCUUAUAA